Molecule: transfer RNA, 78 nt
Filed under: Felis catus (domestic cat)
Lineage: Eukaryota; Metazoa; Chordata; Mammalia; Carnivora; Felidae
Rfam family: tRNA
About the family: Transfer RNA (tRNA) molecules are approximately 80 nucleotides in length. Their secondary structure includes four short double-helical elements and three loops (D, anti-codon, and T loops).
Source: Rfam by way of RNAcentral
GCCCGGGUGGCUCAGUCAGUUAAGGGUCUGACUUCAGCUCAGGUCACGAUCUCGUGAGUUCGAGCCCCGCCUCGGGCU